GAGACAUUGGCCUGGUCCCAUCUUUUGAAUCCUUAAAGGCUCUUGAUCCUUGUGCUGAUUUGUCAGUGAAAGUAGUUUUAAUUGACAGAUUCAGGGAUCCUGGUCUGAAAGAGCUACUCAAUAGUGUUAUUAGUCAUUCUAGUAGCUGGUUAACCACAAAAGAUGUGAUUGUUCAGCUUGCCAAUCUUGUCUCUAAGCGCAUGGGGGGGGUAACCUCUAGUGGAGAAGAAAAUCUUGG
Molecule: unclassified non-coding RNA, 238 nt
Filed under: Hevea brasiliensis (rubber tree)
Lineage: Eukaryota; Viridiplantae; Streptophyta; Magnoliopsida; Malpighiales; Euphorbiaceae
Source: RNAcentral